ACCCGCCUGCUUCGGAAUGUUUGAAUCACUAACUGCCAGACCAUAAGACUGCCAUCAGCCACCCAGGUGAGGGGCUGCAAGCAGUGGGAACUCUGGUGCCAUCGGGAGCUGGCAGCCAGCUUAUUAACGAACCAUUUGUGGCUGAACUCUCAGCAGGGAGCUGCCACUAGCAACCCUCCAGCAGGCCACAGAUCAUGUAUCUGUGGGCUCUGACCCAGCACAGACAUCUCAACACUUGAUAUAUAAACUCAAGAUUCAGGACUUCAUGGAUACGCCUAUUGGAUCCUAAUGGGAAGCCCAAGAUUUGGAAAAGGAAGACACUGGGCAUGCACUGGGCUCUUACGAGAUGCCAGACAUGAGGUCCAUUCAUGUGGGUUCUCUCAUUAAGUCCUCCCAGCAAGU
This is a long non-coding RNA of Callithrix jacchus (white-tufted-ear marmoset), 402 nucleotides long. RefSeq lists it as uncharacterized. Lineage: Eukaryota; Metazoa; Chordata; Mammalia; Primates; Cebidae. The record is from RefSeq and is a predicted model, not a curated record.